AAUGGAACGUCUGGCCGGCAGGCCCUAACACAUGUCAAGCUCGGGCCGGGAUCACAGCGUAAGACCUUUGGUAUCUCCGGUGGACAAGACGCCGGACAGGUGAGUAAUGUCUGGGAAACUGCCUGAUGGAGGGGGAUAACUACUGUAAACGGUAGCUAAUACCGCAUAACGUCUCAAGACCAAAGAGGGGGACCUUCUGGCCUCUUGCCAUCUCAUGUGCCCAGAUGGGAUUAUAUAGUAGGUGGGGUAACGGCUCACCUAUGCGACAAUCCCUAUCUGGUCUGAGAGGAUGACCAGCCACACUGGAACUGAGACACGGUCCACACUCUUACGGGAGGCACCACUGGGGAAUAUUGUACAAUGGGCGCACGCCUGAUGCACCCAUGCCGCGUGUAUGAAGAAGGCCUUCGGGUUGUAAAGUACUUUCAGCGGGGAGGAAGGCGAUAAGGUUAAUAACCUUGUCGAUUGACGUUACCCGCAGAAGAAGCACCGGCUAACUCCGUGCCAGCAGCCGCGGUAAUACGGAGGGUGCAAGCGUUAAUCGGAAUUACUGGGCGUAAAGCGCACGCAGGCGGUCUGUCAAGUCGGAUGUGAAAUCCCCGGGCUCAACCUGGGAACUGCAUUCGAAACUGGCAGGCUAGAGUCUUGUAGAGGGGGGUA
This 660-nucleotide ribosomal RNA is filed under the name bacterium UASWS0141. RNAcentral's name for it is "bacterial SSU rRNA". It matches the Rfam family "Bacterial small subunit ribosomal RNA", at positions 26 to 663 of the family's 1533-position model. The record is from RNAcentral.